CUGCCAGCUGCCGCCAUGACAAGCACUAUGUGAAGACUCUGGUUGAGCAGUUCUACAAUGACUAUCUACAUGCUGGUGUGGCAGAGAGCCUGGUGGUUGCUCAGCCAACAAAGCUGGAUUCUUCAUCAGUCUGAAUCUGACACUGUAAGCCUAGAAGAUGCCUGGGGAGUUGCUGCUAUUCACUGCAGAUGAGAAAGCAAAAGAAUCUGGAGUCCUGGCUCAGUAGAGGUCGGUCAGUGCCUUGCUCAGCCAUCAUUGAAGAAGCUUGUGAUUGCAGCAGCUAGGAACAAUUAGAGACCCAUCGUCAGACAAAAGACUGUGGAACACUUAGUCCUAAAUGGUAUGUCUCCAUCAAAUCUCUCCUCUCGGGGUUCAGGGAACUCCAUGGAAGAAGAGAGAAAGAGUGUAAGAGCCAGAGAUGAUGCAAGAUACCACGGAAUUAAGGCCUUCUAGAUACAGCAAGGCCAGUGUACAUCAUUGCAGGCCGGAGAACUGUGCAGUCAUUUGUAAGGUCAACCCAUCAGAAUCCUUGAUUGUCAUGGAGGAUUAAAUCAAGAACGCAGGGUGUGUUGGAGUUAUUGCCUUUUGAAUGAAUUGCCUGUUUUCUGCUGUAGAUUUCGUGUGUGAAACCAUAAGCUCUCCCCUCUUUGAGUGGGACCCACCCCAGAAAAGACCCAACAGUGUAUAGAUUAUUGGGCACAAUUUCUUCCAUGUGCUGGUAUGUUGGGUGACUCCUCCGCCCCCAUUCGUGGGAUCUCCGGUGAGAGAAUUUAGUCAUGUGGUCAAUAACCUGGGUUCCCACAGCCUAAUCACCACUCCGUUCUCUGAGACAAACGUUAGAAGCCAACAAGCUUCCUGCAGUUAUCUUCCAUUUGACAGGACAUGUAGUCAGGAAAGGAGUCUUUCAAAUAGAUCACAUUAGGGAGAUUAAGGAAUGUCCAAAACCUUUGGUUCUGGUUCCUCCUGAUUAAGGAGAGUGAAUGCUCUAAAUUUUCCCUCAGCGAACUUGGGAAAGUGCUAACCUCCGCUGACCCCCAGCUCUAAUCCUAAAAAGCUAUUAAUCGCCUACAUCUACUCUCAUUUGGUUUAUUGGAUAUAGAAACUUAACCUAGGAAAUUUACUGCCCGUGUCUUAACCCUGAGGGAUAAUAGAAAAAGCCAGUGAAUGAAGAUCUUCACAUGCAAAACUCUUUUGAGAAAGAGAUUCAUUUGGGAAG
This is a long non-coding RNA of Peromyscus leucopus (white-footed mouse), 1216 nucleotides long. RefSeq lists it as uncharacterized. NCBI's taxonomy places the organism in Eukaryota, Metazoa, Chordata, Mammalia, Rodentia, Cricetidae. The record is from RefSeq and is a predicted model, not a curated record. The transcript is spliced from 3 exons.